This is a long non-coding RNA of Jatropha curcas, 620 nucleotides long. RefSeq lists it as uncharacterized. The record is from RefSeq and is a predicted model, not a curated record. Lineage: Eukaryota; Viridiplantae; Streptophyta; Magnoliopsida; Malpighiales; Euphorbiaceae.
UUUAUCACUUAUCAUAUCAUAUUAUAUAAUAUAUCUCAUGAAUAACAAAGUAGACUUUCAUUCACGUAUUUCACUAAAAGAACAUUACCCUAAAAAGCCUAAAGGUUUUGGUAUGGUGCGUAUAAAUUCAUUCCUUCAUCACCAAAGAGAGACGGAGACCAAACCUGCUUCAUCACCAAAGAGAGACAGAGACCACACCUGCUGGCUGCCCGUAUUUCACCCUUGCCAGAAAUCAAAAUUUGAUUUUUUAAAAAUUUUCUUCUUCUCUACAAGAAGCCAGUAUGUAUGUGUUUGAUGCAAAAUUUUUAAGUUUCCAAUGAAGGCUUUUGCUCUCUGAUAAGUAUAUGAAAAGAAACCAUCCCUGAAAGUCUGUCAAGGCAUGCAACAAAAGUUGCUUGGAUCUCAUGCAAUUGUUUUUUGAACUGAAAAGUUAGUACUUUUAUAGUGGCAGUUGUGAUUCUUGUGAAAUAAGAAGAAUGUAACCAUUACAACUAGUUGCAUUGCGGCCACUUAUCCAUUGCAUUUGUAACUGAAAUGUCCAUUUUGGCAUUUACAACUCAAAUAUUUGGAACUAUUCUGCAGUUUUGAAUUUUGAACUAUAAAAUUUGAAUUUUUUGAUA